This 1092-nucleotide ribosomal RNA is filed under the name Euplotes sp. 2 cOmb1. RNAcentral's name for it is "SSU rRNA". It matches the Rfam family "Eukaryotic small subunit ribosomal RNA", at positions 203 to 1240 of the family's 1831-position model. The record is from RNAcentral. Lineage: Eukaryota; Ciliophora; Spirotrichea; Euplotida; Euplotidae.
UUUAUUAGAUUUCAAACCAAUAUUCCGAAAGGUCUACUGAGAUGAUUCAUGAUAACUGAUCGAAUUGCUGGGACUUCUAGCAAUAAAUCAUCCAUGUUUCUGCUUCCCAUCAGCUUGAUGGUAGUGUAUUGGACAACCAUGGCAUUCACGGGCUAUCGGGGGAUUAGGGUUCGAUUCCGGAGAGGGAGCCUGAUAAACGGCUACCACUUCUACGGAAGGCAGCAGGCGCGAAAAUUAUCCAAUCCUGAUUCAGGGAGGUAGUGAAAGAAAUAAUGAACUAGGAUUUAUCCUGGGAUCACAAUGGGCUUGAUUUGCAAACACUUUGCGAGGAACAAUUGGAGGGCAAGUCUGGUGCCAGCAGCCGCGGUAAUUCCAGCUCCAAUAGAGUAUAUAAACGUUCCUGCAGUUAUUCGAUGCUCGUAGUUGGAUUUCUGGAGUUGAGACGGGAGGGUGGCUAUGGCCAUCGCCCGACUCUUUCUUCAUCCACCUGUUUGCGAAUCCCGGGAUUCGUUUCUCGGUUUCGGGCGCAGGUAUCUUACUAUUUCAAUAUUUUGUAAUCUUCAUCGAUUAUGUAUGUUUCUUUGAGCAAAUUAUAGUGUUUCAGGCAGGCGUGCGCCGGAAUACAUUAGCAUGGUAUAAACGAAUUGGACCGUGUGCCUGUAACAGGGCUUUUCCUUAUUUGUUGGUUUGAAGGACACGGAGAUGGUUAAUAGGGACAGAAUUUAUUUCAGGGGGAGGCACUAGUAUUUAAUUUCCAGAGGUGAAAUUCUUUGAAAUAUUAAAGACUAACUUAUGCGAAAGCAUUUAUUGCCAAUGAUGUUUUCAUUAAUCAUUGAACGAAAGUUAGGGGAUCAAAGACGAUCAGAUACCGUCCUAGUCUUAACCAUAAACGUUGCCGACUAGGGAUCGGAGGGCGUGCACAUUCCGCCUUCGGCACCUUACGAGAAAUCAAAGUCUUUUGGGUUCUGUGGGUAGUAUGGUCGCAAGGCUGAAACUUAAAGGAAUUGACGGAAGGGCACCACCAGGAGUGGAGCUUGCGGCUCAAUUUGACUCAACACGGGAAAUCUUACCAGGUCCAGACAUAGCGAGGAU